RNAcentral lists this long non-coding RNA (592 nucleotides) under Homo sapiens (human). RNAcentral describes it as "HSALNT0087038". The record is from RNAcentral. Lineage: Eukaryota; Metazoa; Chordata; Mammalia; Primates; Hominidae.
GUCAGUGCAUCAGCAAAUCAUUGGUUUGCAAUGGGGAUUCUGACUGUGAUGAAGACAGUGCUGAUGAAGACAGAUGUGAGGACUCAGAAAGGAGACCUUCCUGUGAUAUCGAUAAACCUCCUCCUAACAUAGAACUUACUGGAAAUGGAUUCAAUUCAAAACCAGCUGUUGCCAUAGAUACGAAAGAGCCAUGUGUUUCCCAAAUAUGUUCUUAGAUGGAAAGAAUGUUGGAUUUUCUGAGCCAUUAGUUUUAGUGAUUAUACCAAGCAGGGGAAGCUGGAUAAUGUAUGUUACAAUGAACUCACUGGCCAGUUUAGGAACAGAGUCAUCAAUACCAAAAGUUUUGGUGGUCAAUGUAGAAAGGUGUUUAGUGGGGAUGGAAAAGAUUUCUACAGGCUGAGUGGAAAUGUCCUGUCCUAUACAUUCCAGGUGAAAAUAAAUAAUGAUUUUAAUUAUGAAUUUUACAAUAGUACUUGGUCUUAUGUAAAACAUACGUCGACAGAACACACAUCAUCUAGUCGGAAGCGCUCCUUUUUUAGAUCUUCAUCAUCUUCUUCACGCAGUUAUACUUCACAUACCAAUGAAAUCCAUA